RNAcentral lists this ribosomal RNA (460 nucleotides) under uncultured bacterium. RNAcentral's name for it is "partial 16S ribosomal RNA". It matches the Rfam family "Bacterial small subunit ribosomal RNA", at positions 338 to 795 of the family's 1533-position model. The record is from RNAcentral.
CCUACGGGUGGCAGCAGUGAGGAAUAUUGGUCAAUGGGCGGGAGCCUGAACCAGCCAAGUCGCGUGAGGGAAGACGGUCCUAUGGAUUGUAAACCUCUUUAGGCGGGGAGCAAUGCCGGGCACGUGUGCCCGGAGGGAGUGCACCCGCAGAAUAAGCAUCCGCUAACUCCGUGACAGCAGCCGCGGUAAUACGGAGGAUGCGAGUGUUAUCGGGAUUUAGUGGGUUUAAAGGGCGUGUAGGCGGAAUUUUAUGUCAGCGGUAAAAUGUCGGGGCUCAACCCGGGCCGGCCGUUGAAACUGGGGAUCUUGAGUGGGCGAGAAGUAUGCGGAAUGCGUGGUGUAGCGGUGAAAUGCAUAGAUAUCACGCAGAACUCCGAUUGCGAAGGCAGCAUACCGGCGCCCGACUGACGCUGAGGCACGAAAGCGUGGGGAUCGAACAGGAUUAGAUACCCUAGUAGUC